AUUGGACGCUGGCGGCAUGCUUUACACAUGCAAGUCGAACGGCAGCGCGGGCUUCGGCCUGGCGGCGAGUGGCGAACGGGUGAGUAAUAUAUCGGAACGUACCCAAGAGUGGGGGAUAACGUAGCGAAAGUUACGCUAAUACCGCAUACGAUCUAAGGAUGAAAGCAGGGGAUCGCAAGACCUUGUGCUCCUGGAGCGGCCGAUAUCUGAUUAGCUAGUUGGUGAGGUAAAGGCUCACCAAGGCAACGAUCAGUAGCUGGUCUGAGAGGACGACCAGCCACACUGGAACUGAGACACGGUCCAGACUCCUACGGGAGGCAGCAGUGGGGAAUUUUGGACAAUGGGGGCAACCCUGAUCCAGCAAUGCCGCGUGAGUGAAGAAGGCCUUCGGGUUGUAAGGCUCUUUUGUCAGGGAAGAAAAGGUCGUGGCUAAUAUCCACGACUGCUGACGGUACCUGAAGAAUAAGCACCGGCUAACUACGUGCCAGCCGCCGCGGUAA
This 500-nucleotide ribosomal RNA is filed under the name uncultured bacterium. Its description in RNAcentral is "partial 16S ribosomal RNA". It matches the Rfam family "Bacterial small subunit ribosomal RNA", at positions 30 to 523 of the family's 1533-position model. The record is from RNAcentral.